Molecule: ribosomal RNA, 229 nt
Filed under: uncultured bacterium
Lineage: Bacteria
Description: partial 16S ribosomal RNA
Rfam family: Bacterial small subunit ribosomal RNA
Source: RNAcentral
UACAGAGGUCCCAAGCGUUGUUCGGAUUCAUUGGGCGUAAAGGGUGUGUAGGUGGCGCCGUAAGUCGGGUGUGAAAUCUCGGGGCUUAAACUCCGAAACUGCAUUCGAUACUGCGGUGCUUGAGGACUGGAGAGGAGACUGGAAUUCAUGGUGUAGCAGUGAAAAUGCGUAGAGAUGUGGAGGAACACCGAUGGCGAAGGCAGCCCCCUGGGUCAAGAUUGACGCUCAU